GUUGUUUCUUUGGUUUUGGGCCCAAGAUCAAGGUUAGUAUCUGUUCUUAUCAUUUAACAUCUCAUAAAUCCUCUACCUGAGGAUACUUUAUUUUAUUUUAUUAAAAAAAU
Molecule: small nuclear RNA, 110 nt
Organism: Delphinapterus leucas (beluga whale)
Lineage: Eukaryota; Metazoa; Chordata; Mammalia; Artiodactyla; Monodontidae
Gene: U2
Rfam family: U2 spliceosomal RNA
About the family: U2 is a small nuclear RNA (snRNA) component of the spliceosome (involved in pre-mRNA splicing). Complementary binding between U2 snRNA (in an area lying towards the 5' end but 3' to hairpin I) and the branchpoint sequence (BPS) of the intron results the bulging out of an unpaired adenosine, on the BPS, which initiates a nucleophilic attack at the intronic 5' splice site, thus starting the first of two transesterification reactions that mediate splicing.
Source: Ensembl